UACGAAGGGGGCUAGCGUUGCUCGGAAUCACUGGGCGUAAAGCGCACGUAGGCGGCUUUCUAAGUCAGGGGUGAAAUCCUGGAGCUCAACUCCAGAACUGCCUUUGAUACUGGGAGUCUCGAGUCCGGGAGAGGUGAGUGGAACUGCGAGUGUAGAGGUGAAAUUCGUAGAUAUUCGCAAGAACACCAGUGGCGAAGGCGGCUCACUGGCCCGGUACUGACGCUGAGGUGCGAAAGCGUGGGGAGCAAACAGG
Molecule: ribosomal RNA, 253 nt
Filed under: uncultured bacterium
Lineage: Bacteria
Description: partial 16S ribosomal RNA
Rfam family: Bacterial small subunit ribosomal RNA
Source: RNAcentral